Molecule: ribosomal RNA, 414 nt
Filed under: uncultured microorganism
Description: bacterial SSU rRNA
Rfam family: Archaeal small subunit ribosomal RNA
Source: RNAcentral
CAGCCGCCGCGGUAAUACCGGCGGCCCGAGUGGCGGUCACUAUUAUUGGGCUUAAAGCGUCCGUAGCCGGGUUGGGAAGUCCUCCGGGAAAUCUGGCCGCUUAACGGUCAGAAUGGCGGAGGAUACUCCCAGCCUAGGGAGCGGGCGAGGCCGAGGGGAUUCCCGGAGUAGGGGGGAAAUCCUAUAAUCCCGGGAGGACCACCUGUGGCGAAGGCGCUCGGCUGGAACGCGUCCGACGGUGAGGGACGAAGGCCAGGGGAGCAAACCGGAUUAGAUACCCGGGUAGUCCUGGCUGUAAACGAUGCGGACUUUGUGUCGGACAAGCUAUGAGCUUGUCCGGUGCCGGAGGGAAACCGUUAAGUCCGCCGCCUGGGGAGUACGGCCGCAAGGCUGAAACUUAAAGGAAUUGGCGGG